AACCGCGUAAAUAAAUCAAAUGAAGUAGUUGUGUGAAAACACAAAUGUUAAUUGAAUGCGUCUGUUCAUAUCGCUGAGAUUUUUAGUGGUCAUCGAUUCCUUCUGUAUUUGAAUUAACUCAGAGCUCCGUUGUUGCUGUUUUUUUUCUUUUGUUUUGACCAACGAACCACACUCAACGAUUAGUUAAGUGUUUUUUGUAAAAAUUUCAGUUUAGCGUUUGUUAGUUUUUUCACAUUAGUUUCGGUUUCCGUUCCAAAGUUCAGCUAUUAUACAUGACGAGUUUACUGUGGCCGUCGUUCCGUACAGGUCACCUAACGACCUCUCCUCUUUUCCUAAAUUGAGUUUGACUCAGCAACCCGUGUCUAUCCGUUAGACGAUAAUACAACACGGUUUUUUUUAUUUUGUUUUAUUCGGCAACAUGACAAGAAGAGUUGAAACCAGCGAUGAAACGGCUUUGGUUAGCUUGAAAGCUAACGCUGCGACUCAACUGAAGAAGAAAACAACAAUUAAAGUGAUUUAUCUAAUCGCUGCUUUGGACAUAACAUGGAUGUUUCUACAGUUCUCCAUAACGCCGUAUUUGGCAAAGAAACUGGGUUUUGACACUUUGUGGUUUGGUUAUUUACAAAGCAUGGUUGGUCUCAUCCAGCUGUUUGGGGGUCCUUUGUUUGGAAGGUUCGCAGAUGUUAUCGGGGCCCGAGCGGCACUGUCAUUGGCGUGCACUGCAAAUAUUGUUUUCUUCAUUCUGCUGGCUGUAGCAGACUCUCCUGUCAUGCUUUUUGUCCACAAACUCCCCACAGUUGUAAUGCAUGUUCUACCAGCUUCUCAGAUGGUAGUAGCAGACCUUUCAGAACCUGAAAAACGGGCCGAUGCGCUAUCCAAACUAGGUCUUUGUUUUGGCUUUGGAAUGAUAGCUGGCUCCACUUUAGGUGGCCAUCUCGUCACAAGCUAUGGGGAGAGAUUUGCUGCAUACAGUGGCGCUGCAGGGAGCACAUUAAGUUUGCUGUUGGUAUUAAGCUUUAUCCCUCAAACCACUAAAGUUCAAUCUCCAACAGCCAAAACAGAGUCUGAUACCAAAAGCAAGUCCAUCUUCAGUGUGGGCCAGAUCACAAGACUUAUGAAGUGUGCAGGCGUGACACCAACGUUCCUAAUAAAGAUUGUUGCAGGUUUACCAUCAAGCAUUUUCCAAGUGAUGUUCUCUAUAAUUGCAUUGGAAUUUUUGAAGUUGACACCUGAGCAAAAUGGAUAUAUCAUGGCAUAUUUUGGAAUAGCCCAGCUGGUGGUUCAGGGAGGUGUGAUUGGGCGACUUACAGCAAAAUACACUGAGAGUUCACUGCUACUUCUGUCUAUCGGAAUUUCUGCUUUUGUGGGGCUCGCUCAGGCGUACAUGCAGAAUGUGUUCCAGUUCUGCCUCACUGUGGUCCCCAUGAUGUUUUCUCUCAGUAUGUUUAAUGUCAUCACAGACAGUUUGCUCACUAAGAGCGUACCUUCCUCUGACACAGAAUGCUGUAAUGCCCUGCUCUCUGGUCUUCCCAAAAAGAACAUUUCCACUCUAAAACUACUUCAGAACUCAGCUGCUCGUGUGCUGACGAAAACCAGAGCCACCCCUGAGGUUGCCACCCGUGCAUCAGGGGAUGCUACUGAAUCUGUCUACAAAGCCAUUGGACCCGCCACCUUGGUCACCCAAUCCAGGUCAAGGGUCACCGACCUCCUCAUCAUCACAGCGCUCAUGGCGACAACAUCUGCUGUGGCUGCGGGCUGAUGAGCGUGAGAGAGAAGCGAAGACAAAAGACAAAGCACUAAUUGUAAAGCCCAGGGGUCCACCCAAGAGCAGCUCGGUGGAUGGGACACGUCCCACACCGAGGGACGCAGGGUGGUCCGCCAGCCCCACCGAGGCGCCCCAACAACUGGCCACCCGGAGGAGGCCGCAAGGAAACCCAAUGCCACCACCUCCACCAAUAUUUAUUAGUGUUCCUGACCCACAUCAUUCCUGCCAGCCCCCUGUUCUGUCCACUGCCUGCCACCUGUCAACACAUCCAGGACCACUUCCAUAACCUUUGCUCAAUAAACUGUUCAUCAUUUUACAUCAGCCUCCGCCUGCUCUUGGGUUCAGCUACUUCCCACACCUAACAAACAGAUCAAAAGAAACACUUAUCUAGAAGAGCCAGGGCGUGACGUUGGCAUCACGCAACAGUUGGCCAUCAACAUAAAGACAACUAGCCACGCUCGUUUGCCAUUCUCACGGUGAUUCUUCAUCAACGGGUACAAGAUUUUACGCCUCUCAUUGAUUUCCUUGGGGAACUGAUCGUUCAUUCCAAACGAAGUCCCUCUGAGCUCACGACCUUUUGAUUUCACAAACACUUUUUAUUGAAAGUGUUCAAACUUUGCAAUGAUACGACAUGGUCGGUUUCCUGGACGAGGGCCUCCCAAUCGGUGGACACGGUGAAAGGUAAUCUUGUCGACUGUAUCUUGCUGUAUAUUGAGCGCAGACAUCAUUCACUUUUUAAUCUGCGCCUCGGGGUCUUCCGAUGCGUUUUCUGGAAUGCCCGAGAAAAUGAGAUUGACGCGCAUGCUUCGUGAUUGAAUGUCCUGCGUAGUUUCUAUUCCAGUCUAAGAGUUUGUAGUUCCGCUGACGUUGACAUCAUGUUUGAUCGAAGCGCGGUAUGGUCUAAUCUUAGCUCCUUGACCUGUUGUUGUGUGAACUCCAAGCUCUUUCUGACUUCGGCGAUCUCUUGGGAAAGCAAGUCAAGUGUAAUUGACAAUUUCUUGUCGAUUGAGAGGAGGACUCAUCUGUGUCUGUCGAAUCAAGUAAAAUCUCAGUUGAAGUGGAAGAAUCAGCUUUUUUUUCCUCUUCAGCGGCAGCUCAACAAGAGGGCUCAGAUCAUCCAUGACAGACGUGUUGGCAUUGACGUAGCAGUGUGCAUCGCAAGUGGCUCUCUGCGAGUUACCGCUGCUAGCGAAGCUGGCGUAGGAAAAGCAAAAAGAACAAAGCGUUCUUGUGUUGUUGGAGGCCUCGAAUAAACAUUAGGUGAUCAGC
RNA transcript from Phyllopteryx taeniolatus (common seadragon), 3034 nucleotides. It is a transcript of the gene named solute carrier family 22 member 18, with no coding region annotated. The transcript is spliced from 12 exons. NCBI's taxonomy places the organism in Eukaryota, Metazoa, Chordata, Actinopteri, Syngnathiformes, Syngnathidae. The record is from RefSeq and is a predicted model, not a curated record.